This 73-nucleotide non-coding RNA is filed under the name unclassified sequences. RNAcentral's name for it is "RAGATH-18 RNA". It matches the Rfam family "RAGATH-18 RNA". From Rfam's summary of the family: Actinobacteria, Firmicutes, Fusobacteria, Thermotogae (1 example). The record is from Rfam by way of RNAcentral.
CCUGCGGAGAGUAAUAGAACUUGUGAGUAGUAUCGAUAAAUUUGAUAUGAAAGCAUACUCGAUGAAACAGGAA